This is a long non-coding RNA of Brachypodium distachyon (stiff brome), 448 nucleotides long. RefSeq lists it as uncharacterized. The transcript has 2 exons. The record is from RefSeq and is a predicted model, not a curated record. NCBI's taxonomy places the organism in Eukaryota, Viridiplantae, Streptophyta, Magnoliopsida, Poales, Poaceae.
AUAUCUGGCUGGACGGCGACCCACUGCCCACCAGCAUGCUCGACAUGUGCAUGCUUCUCAGGGUGGGCAGAGAACCUGACCUCGCUUGAUGCCGACAUCCACGCCACGAGAACUUGCAGCGCCGAAGAGCAAAGGAUGCCCGAGGACUAGCUAGCCCGUCAGACAAGCUGCAUAUCUGUCGAAAGUAAAGUUUGUUUCAGAUAUCGGGCGGAGACGGGGCGGCCCCGGUGGAGGCGGUGGCGCGACGUCGACAGGGCGGCGCCGACGGAGGCGGUGACGGCGCGGCGACAGGAUCAAGAGAUACGUAUUUUCUAUCGAUCUAUUGCGAUGCCGAUGGCAUGAAAAAAAGUCAGGUCCCUGCUAAUUAACUUUCUAUUACUCGUCUCUUCCUGUAGUAUCAAAAUGUACCGUAAAAAACAUCUACAUUUCAAGGUUUAACUUUGAUCAU